RNAcentral lists this ribosomal RNA (373 nucleotides) under uncultured bacterium. RNAcentral describes it as "bacterial SSU rRNA". It matches the Rfam family "Bacterial small subunit ribosomal RNA", at positions 523 to 898 of the family's 1533-position model. The record is from RNAcentral.
AUACGGAGGAUCCGAGCGUUAUCCGGAUUUAUUGGGUUUAAAGGGUGCGUAGGCGGCACUUUAAGUCAGGAGUGAAAGACGGCAGCUCAACUGUCGCAGUGCUCUUGAUACUGAAGUGCUUGAAUGCCGUUGAAGAUGGCGGAAUGAGACAAGUAGCGGUGAAAUGCAUAGAUAUGUCUCAGAACUCCGAUUGCGAAGGCAGCUAUCUAAGCGGUGAUUGACGCUGAUGCACGAAAGCGUGGGGAUCAAACAGGAUUAGAUACCCUGGUAGUCCACGCCCUAAACGAUGAUGACUCGAUGUUGGCGAUACACAGUCAGCGUCCAAGCGAAAGCGUUAAGUCAUCCACCUGGGGAGUACGCCCGCAAGGGUGAA